Molecule: ribosomal RNA, 383 nt
Filed under: Nubeoscincus glacialis
Lineage: Eukaryota; Metazoa; Chordata; Lepidosauria; Squamata; Scincidae
Description: partial small subunit ribosomal RNA
Rfam family: Bacterial small subunit ribosomal RNA
Source: RNAcentral
GCUUGGCCCUAAACACAGAUAUGUUAAUACAACACUAUCCGCCAGAGAACUACAAGCGAAAAGCUAGAAACUCCAAGGACUUGGCGGUGCUUCAAAUCAACCUAGAGGAGCCUGUCCUAUAAUCGAUACUCCACGCUCAACCUUACCCCCGCUAGCCAACCAGCCUAUAUACCGCCGUCGUAAGCCUACCUUAUGAAAGAAACAAAGUAGGCAAAAGAGCCAUCAGCUAAUACGUCAGGUCAAGGUGUAGCACAUGCAAGGGACAGAGAUGGGCUACAUUUUCAAAACGAACACACGAAUAGCGCGUUGAAACAUGCGCUUAAAGGCGGAUUUAGUAGUAAGAUAGGUAAGAAAAACUAUCUGAAACCUGCUCUGAAGCGCGC